GGCGGCGCUUCCCCCGCUCCCCCCGCGGGCCGGCCCCGUCACGUUCCGCUCCGCAUGGCCCGGCACGCUCGGGGCUCCGGCCCGCCCUCAGCGCCGGCACCGCCGCCCGCGGGGCCGCCUCAGGGGCGGCUGGGGCUGGCACACACCGUGCGAUCCCUCACGGACCCGCGGGAGAGAACACCAUCCCUCACACACCGUGCGAUCCCUGCCGGACCCGCGGGAGGGAAAACCAUCCCUCACACACUGUGCGAUCCCUCACGGACCCGCGGGAGGGGAUCCCUCCCCUCACACACUGUGCGAUCCCUCACGGACCCGCGGGAGGGGAUCCCUCCCCUCACACACCGUGCGAUCCCUCACGGACCCUUCAGCUCCCUCAUCUCACCACCCUCCCCCUCAGCUUUCCACAGAAAUUGUGUGAAUUCCUCACCUGAGGGACACAUGGUGGAUGUUUGGCCCGGGCAGCAUUCCUGCUGAUGUAAGAGCGUCCUGCUCUGGAAAUUCCGAGAAAUGGCGUAAAAUGGAUGUAAAAUUUCCUUCUUUGCACCCACACAACCUCACAGGGAAGAAUUUCUUCCUAAUAGCUAAUCUAAAUUUCCCCUCCCUCAAUUUUUACCCAUUACUCCUUGCCCUGUCACUACAGUUCCUGAUGAAGAGUCUCUCUCCAGCUUCCUUGUAAGCCCCCUUCAGAUAUUGGGGGGUUCCAAUAUUGGAGAUCUCCACAUAACCUUCAAAUUACCUCCAGGUGUGAUUGGUGACCCUCCUUCACCCACCUGUGGUACCUCGCUGUCCUGCUGUCUCCACCAUUUGUUUUUUUCCACACACAAAUGGCUCCUUGGUCAUUAUUGUCCCCACCUGUACCACAGCUGGCGCUGUGAAGCCCCAGAUGAUUAAUGUACAGACACGAAACACUCCUCAAAGGCCAAUUCUGUGGCUGCCAAAUCCAGGACUGAAAAGAGAUGCCUGUGCAAAAUUAAUUUGGCUUAUCUCUGGGCAUGGAUUAGAAAUCUUAUUAGAUAUUCAUCUCCCGCUUUUUGCACAGAGCCCUGUCUCGCCGACGAGCAGAGUGGAUGGUGCUCCUUAAUGAAUAAGGAUCAGUGUUCUGCUUUACCUUUGCUAUUUAGUGUGGCCUGAGGCUGUAAAAGCCCCACGUGCCCCCAGCCCAGCUCUGGGGCACAUUUUGCCACGCUCAUGGCCUUCUGCACUGUGCCAGGAGGUUUCAUGGACACUUGCAGAUGGUGGAGGAGCAGUGAGAGUUGGAAGUCUUAGGACCUGGUCCAAGCUCUAAAAGGGAACUGCCAGACACUGGUCUUGGGGACAUCAGGACUCUGUCCUUCAGACUGUUCCUCUGCCUUUGCCUCUCAUGGCUGCUUGUUCUUACAUCCUUGCCUGGCUCCCAGUCUCCCUUCUAGCCCUACCAUUCUCUACCAGUUUCUGAAAAAAAUGAGUUUAUGGUAAAACGAAUGGCAGUUUCUCAAAUGUAAGUGGAGAUUUUUGUCCUCCUGCUGCUCAGCUGGGGAAGCUUCCACCCCCAAGGGUCCCCGGGAACACAAGGAGUUUAAAUGUCCCAUCUUCAGUCCAAGUGCCUGGACUGAGCCCAGCCCAUCUGCAGUUGCAGAGUAGAGCCUGCUGGCCCUCACAUGGAUGAAAUCCUUGGAGAAUUUAGCUGGGAGCAUCUAGCAAACCUCUGCUGAGAAGUGAGCAAGCUGCAGCUUCUCAGAAGCUUAGCAGUUAUCAGCUCAUCAGGCAGAUUGCGUUGUUAAAAUGGUAGAGCUCACCCAUCCCUCCACUGCCAGGCUUUGGGUGCAAGGCAUGUUGGCAUCCGACUUUUCCACAAAAAACAACUGUAGAAUUGUUUUAGCAUGGAUAAAAUAUCCCUGCCCGCCUGUUUCUUUGAUUGAGAGAACCAGUGAAGCUUUUCAAAGUUAUAAUCAACUUAAAACAGGGAGUUUAUGGUGGGAAGUGCUGGACAACCUUUGUGAUCAGUGUACCAGUCCUGUCUGGAACAUUCGUGGAAGCAAUAAGAACAGGGUGGCAUGCUAAAGAUGCUGGGAUAUUAAGAUAAAUGUCUGGAAGGAAAGUUCAAUCAUGGCGUUUUUGUGACCUAAGAAAUCUUAAUGACAGGCACCAUCCAGCAGUGACAGGGGUUGUGUGCCAGCGGGGAGCGAGGCCAGAGUCCAACAGAGAACACGUCUGCCAGGGAGCCAACGCUGCCGUGACCUCUGCCCGUGUCCGUGAGCUCACCAAGCACCUCUGUGCUGGACCAGGCACAUUUCACAGAGCAGACCAAGCUGUGGAGCCGAAUUUUGGUGGAACAGAAGCUGAGAAAUGGGAUUAAUUGGUGAAAUAAUGCAUAGACCACCCCUCUAAAAAAAAUGUUCUAUGAAGUCACCCAUGAAUGAACCCAGACAAGGAUGACAAGCAAGAAAUAAGGAUGGUUUGCAGGUCAUGGAUUCAUCGGAGGGCACAGCACAGAGACAGCUGUUAGCUCAAAACUGCUGCUGGAAGGAUCAGAUAGUAGUGAAAAAGGGAAAGGAGAGGGAGACAACCGUCCCAUGAGAGCAAGCUCACACAGCAAGAGAGAGGAGCAGACAGUUGGUUAGGUUGUUUUUCAGGAAAAGAAAACUUUAUCUAGCCAGAAUCAUAAAAGGUUGUAAAAUCAAAGAGCCAAAGACUGGAAGGGCUUUGGUAAAUAUUGAUAAAUCAAGACCUGCAUGCUUUUAAAGACUAAAUUAAAGGCUGUUGGUAAGGCCUGAAGGAAGCCAGCAGGAGCCUUUGUGGUGAUUUGAAAGGCUGGAGGUCAAGACUUCAGCACGGGUUUGGCAAAGGGCUCCCAGCAGAGGGGUGGCAGUGCUGGGAGCUGGGAGCCAGUGUUCCUGCCUGUCCCUGGCUGCUCCUACAGGGCUGUGUACCUGGUGCUGAAGACACCUGGGAGACACUCGGGAGUGAACCUUCCUGCAAGGGACAACGUGGGAGCAAGAACAGGCAGGAGAGGAGUCGGCUGUGAUGGGGAUGCAGGCGGAGGGGCCCGUUCCAAAGGUGGCAAAAGCAUCUCCCACCUCUCUAAGUGAAGGGCUGUCAGUUCCAUUUUUGGGCUCUGUCCUCUCUUGAUGAUUUCACGUUUGCACGGUGGCUGUUCCUGCUUGUCUUCACCUCAGCAUUUAUUUAGCAGCAGGGUACGAUUAUCUCGGGGCAGCGCUCUGUGCCUUUGACAUCCCUUAAUUAAACUAUGACAUUUGCUAACUAUGGAAAAGGAAAAUACCGAAGGAAAAAACCCUCACUGCAUUCUCAUUAGACCACAUUCGUGAGACUUUGGGUGCCACGCAGGAGAACAGUACAAAGGAUGUUUUAAUGAGCUUCAGUAAAGGUGCCCUUGCUUUUGGUUUGUCUCUAAUUGUACGAGCUUUGAUCUUGAUUUCUUCAAGAGAUAUUUUACUGUGCACUGAGAUAGCACUGACAGACCUGAACAGUUUUGCUUUGUCCAGUUUCUAAGAGACGAAAAACUUUCCACUGGAAAAUGGUUCCAGGGAAAGUUUCAGCGAGCAGCAUCUUCAGGAUCUGGCCUGAUAAUUUUGUACAAACAGGUCCUGCAGAAGGAAAUGUGCGCAAGUGAUACCUAGCAUGGGCACUGGGACAGAUGAAGUCAAAUGCUGACUCCACAGAUGUGUUCUGUGCUUGGCUACCCUAUGCAGGGGGAGGAAGGCUUUAGCAGUGCAGGAGAGCAGCUGAGGAAUAUUGCAGUGCCAUGUAGCUGCACAACCCAGCUCGUGGCUUGGGACUUCUUGGCCAGUUCACUCGCCCUAGAUUAUGGCUCCAGUAAGACUGGAAGCCUUGUGGGAGGGAAUUUCUGCGUUUAUCACUCAGGGUGCCUCGACUCAGAGUGAGCACCGGGCCUGCCUGAGAAGACUGUUGAAAUCUAUUUUCUAAUAUGAAUCAUUUAGUGUUUUUCUUAUUAGUAAAGCAAGAAACAAGACACAAACCUGAGGUAAUUUUAAAGCUGUUUUUAAAUUAAUCUUGGCAUUUUGCGGCUUGACAAAUCCAAAGCCUCUGAAAUCAUUGCACGGCUGUAGCAAAUGAAGUUUUAUUCAGGAGAGAUCAAGUCUAGAGGUUUUUGUGUUUCCAACCGUGGCUUUACAGCUAAGGGGCUACCAGGAAUUAAGCUUUGUAGAACUAGUCUGAGCUCACCAAGGGGAGAGCCUUCACUUCAGAGGGAGCUCAGGCUGCCUUAAAUUAAUACUUCAUUCACCAGAGCCUCUGAUUUGAGUUUAGGGGUAGCUGGCAUUAAGGCAAUCCUGGAGAAUAUCUAUAGUGUAAGAAAAGCUGCACUUAGGCUGUGAACCUUCCUCUUCCCAGCAAGAGCACAGGAUAAAACCUGCUGAGACAUCCUUGGUACCCUGCCACGAGCUCCCUUCUCCGGUGCCUUUUCAUCUUCCCUUCCAUGAAUAUUAACAGCAGUUCUUUCACUCUGAAAAACUGCAAUGCUAAAAUCCAGCCAGAUAUGCCUCCUCGAGUCGCAGCAGCACUCACUCAGCCUCGCCAGGCUCCUUUUUGUGGUGGGGCUGCUCAGUCAGACCCAGACAGCCCUUGUUUUGCAACGGAGACAUGGACAUAUAGGACACUUGAGCAAUCAAACACGGCGGUGACUUCUUGCCACUAUUGAACUGGGUUGGAUUUAAUCAACAGCAGCCCCAUUUGCAGCGCUGCGCCCGCCAGCGCCGGCGGUUUGGAGGUCACCGGUGGGAGGGAAUGCCAGCCUGGGCUCCGGGGCUUCCCUGCAGAGAGGCUCACAAAAGGCAGGGGAAAAAAAACUCAUCCUGAAGCUUCACAUAUUGCGCCGGAUAAAGUUCCAGCAUAGUGAAAGUUCGCUGCAGUGUCUGCGUGCGUCUGCAGCUCUUCAUCAUGACUCAGUGGAAACCCUCCUUUUUAUUGGUGUGAGUGAGCACUAUUAAGGGGCAGGUCUGCAGCUGAGGGAACAUCCUGCUCACAGCUAUCUGCAGAUUCCUCUGACGAAAUCACUCGGGGAAUAAAUCACUGCCCCGUGAAAAGCACCUAAUCAAACAGAUAAGUCUUGCGUUUCACCCUUGUCUCUCUCACUCCCACACAUGACUUUGCAUGUGAAUCUUUAAGACCUGUAUGCCCUAUAUUUUUUCACUCUAAUGCUGCAAUUAAUCACAUUACAUAACCAGCCUACUGCUGUUUCUAAUUAAAUUUUUCGGGGGGGGGGGGGGGGGGG
Molecule: long non-coding RNA, 5230 nt
Organism: Pseudopipra pipra
Lineage: Eukaryota; Metazoa; Chordata; Aves; Passeriformes; Pipridae
Exons: 3
Source: RefSeq, a predicted model, not a curated record